RNAcentral lists this ribosomal RNA (1727 nucleotides) under human gut metagenome. RNAcentral describes it as "bacterial LSU rRNA". It matches the Rfam family "Bacterial large subunit ribosomal RNA", at positions 1111 to 2925 of the family's 2925-position model. The record is from RNAcentral.
AGCAGCCACUCAUUAAAAGAGUGCGUAAUAGCUCACUGGUCGAGUGACUCUGCGCCGAAAAUUUAACGGGGCUAAACUAUACACCGAAGCUUGGGAUACAUCUAAUGUAUGGUAGGAGAGCGUUCUGUAUGGGGAGAAGUCGUAGCGAAAGCGGCGGUGGACUAUACAGAAGUGAGAAUGCCGGAAUAAGUAGCGAGAAUUAAGUGAGAAUCUUAAUGGCCGAAAGUCUAAGGUUUUUGGAGGAAGGUUCGUCCGCUCCAAGUAAGUCGGGAGCUAAGGUCAGGCCGAAAGGCGUAGCCGAUGCACAUACGGUUGAUAUUCCGUAACCAUCUGUAAUUUAAGCAAAGGGACACUUCAAAAGGGUGUGACCCGGGCGUUGGUUGACCCGGGCGUAAGGGACCGAAAUCAGAGUAGGGAAGCACACUUAGCUGAAGGCGAGAAAAGCUUUGCGUAUAGAAACAGAUGCCCGUACCGCAAACCGACACAGGUGGACAGGAAGAGAAUUCUAAGGCCAGCGGGAGAAGGGUAGUUAAGGAACUCGGCAAAUUGACUCCGUAACUUCGGAAUAAGGAGUGCUCGAAAGAGCCGCAGAGAAUAGGCCCAGGCGACUGUUUAGCAAAAACACAGGUCUCUGCCAAAUCGAAAGAUGAAGUAUAGGGGCUGACACCUGCCCGGUGCCGGAAGGUUAAGAGGAGGAGUGAGAGCUCCGAAUUGAAGCCCCGGUAAACGGCGGCCGUAACUAUAACGGUCCUAAGGUAGCGAAAUUCCUUGUCGGGUAAGUUCCGACCCGCACGAAUGGUGUAACGAUCUGGGCACUGUCUCAACUACCCACCCGGCGAAAUUGUAGUACCGGUGAAGAUGCCGGUUACCUGCGGCAAGACGGAAAGACCCCAUGGAGCUUUACUGUAGCCUGAUAUUGGGUUUCGGAAAUCUAUGUACAGGAUAGGCGGGAGACUGGGAAACAUGAGCGUCAGCUUGUGUGGAGUCGAUGUUGGGAUACCGCCCUUAGGUUUCUGGAAUUCUAACCUGCGGCCGUGAAACCGGUCGGGGGACAUUGUCAGGUGGGCAGUUUGACUGGGGCGGUCGCCUCCGAAAAGGUAACGGAGGCGCUCAAAGGUUAGCUCAGCACGGACGGAAACCGUGCCUCUGAGUGUAAACGCAAAAGCUAGCCUAACUGCGAGGGUGACGGCCCGAGCAGUAACGAAAGUUGGAGUUAGUGAUCCGGCGGUAUGUGAAUGGAAAUGCCGUCGCUCAACGGAUAAAAGCUACCCUGGGGAUAACAGGCUGAUCUCCCCCAAGAGUCCACAUCGACGGGGAGGUUUGGCACCUCGAUGUCGGCUCAUCGCAUCCUGGGGCUGUAUUCGGUCCCAAGGGUUUGGCUGUUCGCCAAUUAAAGCGGUACGCGAGCUGGGUUCAGAACGUCGUGAGACAGUUCGGUCCCUAUCUGUCGUGGGCGCAGGAUAUUUGAGGAGCUCUGUCCUUAGUACGAGAGGACCGGGAUGGACGUACCUCUGGUGCACCAGUUGUCAUGCCAAUGGCACGGCUGGGCAGCUAUGUACGGAACGGAUAAACGCUGAAAGCAUCUAAGCGUGAAGCCGACUCCAAGAUUAGAUAUCCCAUCGUAUAACGAGUAAGACCCCUUGAAGACUACGAGGUUGAUAGGCUGCGUGUGUAAGUGCCGUGAGGCAUUCAGCUUGGCAGUACUAAUAGGUCGAGGGCUUGACCAC